This is a long non-coding RNA of Brassica napus (rape), 1621 nucleotides long. RefSeq lists it as uncharacterized. The transcript is spliced from 5 exons. The record is from RefSeq and is a predicted model, not a curated record. Lineage: Eukaryota; Viridiplantae; Streptophyta; Magnoliopsida; Brassicales; Brassicaceae.
UUUGUUUCUUAUGUUGUCUGAUACGGAAGUGUGAACUGGGCUUUAUAGUAUUUGUGCAUGAAGCCCAGAGUGGAGCCCAGUCUUCUUCAAGCUGUCUCAACCCACAAGUGGUUUAGGGUUUUCUCCCAUUUUCUUCUCGCGGGUCAAACUCACCGACGAAACCACAGUUAGGCUCAGAUCGCCGUUCCGAUAUACAUAACGCCUCAGAUUUCCAUAAAUGCGUUCUUAACUUCGUUCUCCACGUUAUUCCUCCACUUAUUUCAUUUGAUUGCUUCAACAUCAGAGAGUGUUCGUGGACAGAUGCAUCAUGAGGUUGUAACGAUGAGAGAUCGGCAGGAGAUUAAAGAGAGAUAUCCGAAAUUGUUGAGUUAGACAUUGAGGAGACAGAGUAAGAGAUUCACGUCUAGCAACAAGAGAGAUUUAGAAGAAUAUAGAUGAUAAGAGUCUGGCAAUGGCGAUUCUAAGCAUGAUAAUAUCACAGGAAUAGCUCCCGUUGUGAAGUCGUAUUCUUAAUAACGCAAUCUUCGAUGUAAUAUUAUCACAGGAAUAGCUCUCGAGAAAGGCUUGCUCAGUAUGCUUGCAGUAUGUAUAAAGAGGUCACAUGACUGUCAUCCGGAAGCGGUAGUGUAGAAUUUUGAGCAGACCGCCGACUACCUCCUACUUCAUCGCCGGGGUGCUAUAGCUUCGAAGUUGUCUCACGGUUCUCUAUUUACUUCACAAUCCACAAAUGGUUUUAGUCAGUUGUUUGAAAUACUGAUGCCUAAUAUUUAUUUUAUUCCCAGAAUGCUUAGUUUGUUUGUAUUAAGCAGGCGAGAUUACAAGCGCUGGCCACAACAGUGAACGACGAUCGGGGAGCACCUGUUUGGUUGCAGUUCAGCAAGUUCUACUCCAAAAGAACAUCUAGAAGGGUUAGUGAUGCCUACAGAUGAGAAUGAGAACAGAGUGCUUGAUCCAAAGAAUUCACAGAAUAUUGAAGGACACACUCUUCUUUAUGCUGCAUCAGAAAAUGGGCGUUGAUAAGUUAUUCCAGAGAUGUUGAAGCAUAUGGACCUUGAAACCGCAUUAAUUUCAGCUAAGAACGGUUUUGAUCCCUUCCACAUCACAGUUAAAAAACCAUCUCGACACAUUGAAGAUCUCUUGGACAUUUCGGAUCUGGCCAUGAAAACAGAUUUGUUGUGUGCAACUGCAUUGCAUAUGGCCGCUAUACAUGCAUGUGAUGGAUUGGAAUAUGUUACGCAAAGACAUUCAAGAACUGAAACCAACUUAUCUAGCUGUAGUUCCAAGAGUAUUUGAGACCAUCCACGUAGAAAUUCAAAAGGCUAUUUAGACAUGUUACCUGAGAAUGAAACUUUUCUCCAAUGUUCUCUACAAACAGUAAGCAACUUCAUCGUUAGUAGCCUCUGUGAAUCUCUGUUCACUUUCCUUCCUUUAGAAAAGAUCUAAACGGAUUUGACUGUGUUAAUGUCUGGAAGAGGCUGGACCAUUCUUGGAUUGAUGGUUCAUUGGGUUGGAGAAGAAAUAGAUGAAGAGAGUUUAGAAUAUCACUAAUUGUAGAUGGAUAUGUUAAAUUAAUGGUACACUUGAUGAUUUCUUUUUGACAACAAAAGUUUUAUUUUUAGCA